RNAcentral lists this long non-coding RNA (1898 nucleotides) under Sus scrofa (pig). RNAcentral's name for it is "lncRNA (ENSSSCG00060058651.1)". The record is from RNAcentral. Lineage: Eukaryota; Metazoa; Chordata; Mammalia; Artiodactyla; Suidae.
GGGGGCCGCUGGGAAGUGUUAUCCUUCGUCUAACGGACCGAGGCCGGUGCUGCCUUCAUUCGCCGCCGGCCCGGACCUUAGUGGCGCCCCAACUAGGGCCGCACCGGCUCUGCCACUUGGGCGGUGUGGAAGCGUGGGAUUGGGGCCUGUGUCCGCGGGCUUGGUGGUUCUUCAGGUAUUAAGGAUUCAUUCAUUCAUCCACUCAUCAUUUAUUGAAAGCUGUGUGCAACAGGAAUUAUUAUAGAUGAUUGGGAUAUGGCAUUGAACAAAGGAGACAAGCUCUCUGCUAUCAUGGUACUUACAUUGUUGUGGGCCAGGUAAUAAAUAAGGUAAGUUAAAUAUAACAUACAUUAAAUAGCAAAAAAUUGUAAGAGGAUAGGUAAAGCAGAAGGAUAUGUAGAAUCAGGGAUGGGACUUGGUGUUUUAGAUGGGGUAGCUAGGAAUGCAUCCUGAAUAUGUAAUAAUAAAGAUAUGAAGGAGCUAGUUAUGCAUUUAAUUAAGGGAAGCAGUUAUAAAAGCCUUGCAUUUCCUGUCAUGGCUCAGUGGUAAUGAACCUGACUAGUAUCCAUGGGGAUGCAGGUUCCAUCCCAGGCCUUGCUAAGUGGGGGUCUAAUCAGAGCUACAGCUGCUGGCGUACACCACAGCCACAGCAACGCCAGAUCCGAGCCUCGUCUUCAACCUACACCCCAGCUCAUGCAAUGCCAGAUCCUUAACCCUCUGAGCAAGUCCAAGGAUCGAACCUGCAAUCUCAUGGUCAGAUUCGUUUCCACUGAGCCACAAUGGGAACUCCAUUACACAAUAUUUUUUAAUCUGAGCAACUUGAAGAAAGGAGUUAUUAACUGAGAAGGGAAAGAAGGUAAGAAAAACCAAUUUGGGGCAUAGGAAGCUAGUGAGAUUUUAGUUUGGAGUAAGUAUGAGAUGCCCAUUGGACAUUCAGGUGGAAAUAAUAUUAAGUUAGCAGUGGAUAUACAAGUCUGAAGUUCAAAAAAAAAAAAAAAAAAAAAAAAAAAAACGAUCUGAGACCUAGAUUGGAGACAUACAUUUUGGAAUUAUCAGCAGAUAGGUAAUGUGUAAGGCUAAUAGACUGGAUGAAAUGAGGAGGAAUCGGCAAAAGAGACUGAGAGGGAAUGUUUAGAAUGGUCGAAAGAAACCCAGGUGAGUGUGAUAUCCUGGAAACCAAAGGAAAAAUGUGUUUUAAUGAGAACUGUGUUAGAUGCUACUGAUAGGCCAAGCAAAAGAGGACUGAAAAAGGAAUGUUUCCUUUAGCGGUGUUUACUGAAAAUUGUUGGUGACCCAGAAGAAGAGUCGCAGUGGAGAGAGCCAGAGAAGAAAAAUUGGUGAUAACAAUAUAAACAACUCUUAAGUUUUUUUCCUAAAUAGGAAUGAAAUAGAGUAGUAGAGUUAAGAGUUAUCUAAUAACUCUAUAUAUCAAUUGAAAUGACUGAACAGAAAUUUGAUGAAGCAAAAGAGAAAGGGGAAAAUGCUAUAGACAUGUCCUUAAGUAGCAGGAGCAAAUGUUAGGGGUUUGAGGAGAGAAAAAGAGUAAAAUAAUCACUUAGAGUGGGACAGAGAAUAGAGAAAUAUGAUUUUCGGGCAGCAUUAAAGACCACUUGAUGUUAGUUUUCAGGAAUUUAAAGUGAGCCUGUUUCAUGUGGUUGCUUGAUUUUUCUUCUGCAGUAUUCAUCUGCACAGUUAGAGCUACAGUGUGGCCCUAAAAAGACAAAAAAAAAAAGGCUAUUAGCCUGAAAUACUAGAGGAAGUAAGGUAGAGAGACAGAAGGGUAUUUUUCCCUUUAGUUGCCAAAUGUUCAAAAUAGAAGUAUCUCUUUUUACUACCAUACUCACUUUAGAAAACAUGUAUGAUUGUUAGCUAUAUUUCACUAAGAGUAAAAAAAAAAA